RNAcentral lists this ribosomal RNA (303 nucleotides) under uncultured bacterium. Its description in RNAcentral is "partial 16S ribosomal RNA". It matches the Rfam family "Bacterial small subunit ribosomal RNA", at positions 507 to 807 of the family's 1533-position model. The record is from RNAcentral.
AGCAGUAGCCGCGGUAAUACGUAGGGUGCAAGCGUUAAUCGGAAUUACUGGGCGUAAAGCGUGCGCAGGCGGUUCUAUAAGACAGAUGUGAAAUCCCCGGGCUCAACCUGGGAACUGCAUUUGUGACUGUAGAGCUGGAGUGCGGCAGAGGGGGAUGGAAUUCCGCGUGUAGCAGUGAAAUGCGUAGAUAUGCGGAGGAACACCGAUGGCGGAGGCAACCCCCUGGGCCUGCACUGACGCUCAUGCACGAAAGCGUGGGGAGCAAACAGGAUUAGAUACCCCCGUAGUCCCUGUCUCUUAUAC